AUCCCUUGCAUGCGCAGUUCACUUUAGGGUUCAUGCUCCUAUGAGAAUCUAAUGCCACUGCUGAUCUGACAGGAGGCAGAGCUCAGGUAGUAAGGCUCCCUCGUCCACUGCUCACCUCCUACUGUGUGGCCCAGUUCUUAACAGGCCACGGGCCACUGCCCAGGGGUUGGGGACCCCUGAAUAAAGGAAUUCCAGGAUGGUGAAGUUAGUAAAACAAGAUAAAGAAAUAUUUGUAGAAAUAAUGACUGCAACUUUGAUUCUGCUGCUUUUUAAAAAUGAUUGAAUUCACUGUUUUCAACAUUUAUUUUGUGCCCACAAUGUGCCUACUCUGUUCAGAGCUGUGAAUAAGACAGACGAGAUUCCUGUUGCCCUGGAGUUUAAAUUCUAGCCUACCACAGGCCAACAAACAACAAAAAAGGUUGUGAAUGAUAGGUGCGUUGUUGACAAUAAAACUGCGUAAUGUGAGAGAGAAUAGAGUGGGCACUAUUUAAAUCAGUGCUCAGAGAAAUCUCCUCUGAAGGGGUGGGAUUUAAGCAGAGACUUAAAUGGCAAGAGGGACCCAUCCAUGUGAAAAUCUGGAGGAAGAGCAUCCCAGGUGGAAGGAGUGAGCAUGGCAUGUUAAAAGAACAGAAGGAAGAAUGUGGCUGGGGCCUGCACAGCGAAGAUUUGAUGGAUGUUUCCUGAGGUCCUACUGUGUACCAGCUGUGGCCGUGUUAACUACCAGGAAUACGAAGAUGAAUAAGGAGGUCACAAGUGAAAACAGAAACACCAAGAUAAACUUGGCCCAGGUUCUCUUGGGAAUUCUCAGGAUCCUACCUGGUGCAGCAAAUCACACCAGGGAGAUGUUACUGGAUCUUUGAUGAGUGGAGCAUCCACAGAGGAAGGAAGUGACGUUGCAACAGGAGGGAGCUCUCCCCGCUAGCCAGGCAGCGGCAAGAGUGUCUCUGCAGGUAGCCAAGGUGACGCUGGCAGCCAGGGAGGCAGCAGUUGGGACAGCUCUGGCAAGAACAUCUCACUGGCUGCCCCGGGAGAGGGCCUGGGCCCUGGGCCAGGACAUGGAUAGGCCUGGAUCAUUCUGCUGAUUGAGCCAAACAGCAUUAAAAAUAAUUGCAGAAUGGAAAUGACUUUGGUGCAUUUUUUCUGGCAAUAAAAAAAAUACAGAUAUAUCAGGGGAAAAAAUGCUGAAAAUGUCUAAGAAGAAAAUUAAAUUUCCCUAUUAAUUUUCCCAUCACAUGUUUGUAUAAUAAUAAAGAGGUCAUUAAAAAAUUUAAUUAUAUAAAUUAUCUGGGAAUAUCUUCUUAUUAAAAAAAUC
Molecule: long non-coding RNA, 1312 nt
Organism: Cebus imitator (Panamanian white-faced capuchin)
Lineage: Eukaryota; Metazoa; Chordata; Mammalia; Primates; Cebidae
Exons: 3
Source: RefSeq, a predicted model, not a curated record